UCUGGGGCACGUAUUCUACGGGAGGCAGCAGUAGGGAAUUUUCGGCAAUGGGCGCAAGCCUCGAUCACAGAGACAACGCCGCGUGAGUGAUUAAGGCCUUCGGGUUGUAAAGCUCUGUUGUAAGGGAAGAAAAAUCAGUAGAGGAAAUGAUACUGAUCUGACGGUACCUUACCAGAAAGCCACGGCUAACUACGUGCCAGCAGCCGCGGUAAUACGUAGGUGGCAAGCGUUAUCCGGAAUUAUUGGGCGUAAAGGGUGCGUAGGCGGUUUAUUAAGUCUAUGGUGAAAGUGCGGGGCUCAACCCCGUAUGGCCAUAGAAACUGAUAGACUAGAGUGCAGGAGAGGGCAAUGGAAUUCCAUGUGUAGCGGUAAAAUGCGUAGAUAUAUGGAGGAACACCAGUGGCGAAGGCGGUUGCCUGGCCUGUAACUGACGCUGAAGCACGAAAGCGUAGGGAGCAAAUAGGAUUAGAUACCCUAGUAGUCCACGCCGUAAACGAUGAAUACUAAGUGUUGGAGAAAUUCAGUGCUGCAGUUAACGCAAUAAGUAUUCCGCCCUGGGGGAGUAUGCACGCAAAGUGUGAAACUCAAAGGAAAUUGACGGGACCCCGCACAAGCGGUGGAUUAUGUUGUUUAAUUCGACGCAACGCGAAGAACCUUACCAGGCCUUGACAUACUCAGCAAAACCCUAGAGAUAGGGUGGCAAGGUUAUCUGGGAAUACAGGUGGUGCAUGGUUGUCGUCAGCUCGUGUCGUGAGAUGUUGGGUUAAGUCCCGCAACGAGCGCAACCCUUGUCUUUAGUUACCAUCAUUCAGUUGGGGACUCUAGAGAGACUGCCGGUGAUAAACCGGAGGAAGGUGGGGAUGACGUCAAAUCAUCAUGCCCCUUAUGGCCUGGGCUACAAACGUAAUACAAUGGCGUAUACAAAGGGAUGCGAAAGGGUGACCUGGAGCAAAACUCACAAAGUACGUCUCAGUUCAGAUUGGAGUCUGCAACUCGACUCCAUGAAGGCGGAAUCGCUAGUAAUCGCGGAUCAGCAUGCCGCGGUGAAUACGUUCUCGGGCCUUGUACACACCGCAUACACAUGAGUG
Molecule: ribosomal RNA, 1088 nt
Filed under: uncultured Mollicutes bacterium
Lineage: Bacteria; Bacillati; Mycoplasmatota; Mollicutes
Description: bacterial SSU rRNA
Rfam family: Bacterial small subunit ribosomal RNA
Source: RNAcentral